GCACAGUGCUCUAGGAAAGU
RNAcentral lists this microRNA (20 nucleotides) under Ciona intestinalis (vase tunicate). RNAcentral describes it as "cin-miR-4034-5p". Lineage: Eukaryota; Metazoa; Chordata; Ascidiacea; Phlebobranchia; Cionidae. The record is from miRBase by way of RNAcentral.